This 261-nucleotide unclassified non-coding RNA is filed under the name uncultured fungus. Its description in RNAcentral is "partial contains small subunit ribosomal RNA, internal transcribed spacer 1, and 5.8S ribosomal RNA". The stretch from base 1 to 73 matches the Rfam family "Eukaryotic small subunit ribosomal RNA", at positions 1759 to 1831 of the family's 1831-position model. The record is from RNAcentral. Lineage: Eukaryota; Fungi.
ACAAACUUGGUCAUUUAGAGGAAGUAAAAGUCGUAACAAGGUUUCCGUAGGUGAACCUGCGGAAGGAUCAUUAAUCGUGUAGGGUAUAUUCUGCCCAAACGUCAACCCUGUGAUUUAAUUAAACUUGUUUCUUUGCCGGCCUCGGUUGGCAGAAGAAUUCUCAAACCCGAUAAAAGGAAAACAUGUCAAUCUGAGACUGGAAAAUAAAUCAAAACUUUCAACAACGGAUCUCUUGGUUCUGGCAUCGAUGAAGAACGCAGC